UCUGAAUCAGUCAUGCUCAAUGACG
RNAcentral lists this non-coding RNA (25 nucleotides) under Cricetulus griseus (Chinese hamster). The record is from RNAcentral. Lineage: Eukaryota; Metazoa; Chordata; Mammalia; Rodentia; Cricetidae.